UCCGUAGGUGAACCUGCGGAGGGAUCAUUACACAAAUAUGAAGGCGGGCUGGAACCUCUCGGGGUUACAGCCUUGCUGAAUUAUUCACCCUUGUCUUUUGCGUACUUCUUGUUUCCUUGGUGGGUUCGCCCACCACUAGGACAAACAUAAACCUUUUGUAAUUGCAAUCAGCGUCAGUAACAAAUUAAUAAUUACAACUUUCAACAACGGAUCUCUUGGUUCUGGCAUCGAUGAAGAACGCAGCGAAAUGCGAUAAGUAGUGUGAAUUGCAGAAUUCAGUGAAUCAUCGAAUCUUUGAACGCACAUUGCGCCCUUUGGUAUUCCAAAGGGCAUGCCUGUUCGAGCGUCAUUUGUACCCUCAAGCUUUGCUUGGUGUUGGGCGUCUUGUCUCUAGCUUUGCUGGAGACUCGCCUUAAAGUAAUUGGCAGCCGGCCUACUGGUUUCGGAGCGCAGCACAAGUCGCACUCUCUAUCAGCAAAGGUCUAGCAUCCAUUAAGCCUUUUUUUCAACUUUUGACCUCGGAUCAGGUAGGGAUACCCGCUGAACUUAAGCAUAUCAAUAAAGCGGAGGA
RNAcentral lists this ribosomal RNA (571 nucleotides) under Alternaria mali. RNAcentral describes it as "eukaryotic LSU rRNA". The stretch from base 196 to 349 matches the Rfam family "5.8S ribosomal RNA". The record is from RNAcentral. Lineage: Eukaryota; Fungi; Ascomycota; Dothideomycetes; Pleosporales; Pleosporaceae.